AUGAAGUUAGCGGCGGACGGGUGAGUAACACGUGGGUAACCUACCCAUAAGACUGGGAUAACUCCGGGAAACCGGGGCUAAUACCGGAUAAUAUUUUGAACUGCAUAGUUCGAAAUUGAAAGGCGGCUUCGGCUGUCACUAAUGGAUGGACCCGCGUCGCAUUAGCUAGUUGGUGAGGUAACGGCUCACCAAGGCGACGAUGCGUAGGCGACCUGAGAGGGUGAUCGGCCACACUGGGACUGAGACACGGCGCAGACUCCUACGGGAGGCAGCAGUAGGGAAACUUCCGCAAUGGACGAAAGUCUGACGGAGCAACGCCGCGUGAGUGAUGAAGGCUUUCGGGUCGUAAAACUCUGUUGUUAGGGAAGAACAAGUGCUAGUUGAAUAAGCUGGCACCUUGACGGUACCUAACCAGAAAGCCACGGCUAACUACGUGCCAGCAGCCGCGGUAAUACGUAGGUGGCAAGCGUUAUCCGGAAUUAUUGGGCGUAAAGCGCGCGCAGGUGGUCUUAAGUCUGAUGUGAAAGCCCACGGCUCAACCGUGGAGGGUCAUUGGAAACUGGGAGACUUGAGUGCAGAAGAGGAAAGUGGAAUUCCAUGUGUAGCGGUGAAAUGCGUAGAGAUAUGGAGGAACACCAGUGGCGAAGGCGACUUUCUGGUCUGUAACUGACACUGAGCCGCGAAAGCGUGGGGAGCAAACAGGAUUAGAUACCCUGGUAGUCCACGCCGUAAACGAUGAGUGCUAAG
RNAcentral lists this ribosomal RNA (747 nucleotides) under Bacillus sp. B_29. RNAcentral's name for it is "bacterial SSU rRNA". It matches the Rfam family "Bacterial small subunit ribosomal RNA", at positions 86 to 820 of the family's 1533-position model. Lineage: Bacteria; Bacillati; Bacillota; Bacilli; Caryophanales; Bacillaceae. The record is from RNAcentral.